This is a non-coding RNA of Fukomys damarensis (Damara mole-rat), 454 nucleotides long. Lineage: Eukaryota; Metazoa; Chordata; Mammalia; Rodentia; Bathyergidae. The record is from the annotation of a RefSeq genome assembly.
CCAGCCCUGGAUGCCCAGGUCCUCCCACUUGGUGAUCAGGAUUGAACACAGGCAGCGCAACAUGGACCUUACCAUGUGUUGGGUUUUCCUGUUUGUAAUUUUGAAAGGUGUCCAAGCAGAGGUGCCGCUGGUGGAGUCCGGGGGAGGAUUGGUGGCACUUGGGGGGUCCCUGAAACUCUCCUGUUUGGCUUCGGGAUUCACCUUCAGUAACUACUGGAUGGGCUGGGUCUGCCAGGCUCCAGAGAAGGGGCUGGAGUGGAUCUCAUCCAUCAAUUCUAACGGUGGUAGCACAUACUACGCGGACUCUGUAAAGGGCCGAUUCACCAUCUCCAGAGACAAUGGCAAGAACACGCUGUAUCUGGAAAUGAGCAGCCUGAGAACCGAGGACACGGCGGUGUAUUACUGUGCAAGAGACACAGUGCAUUUUCUUUUCAGUGUCAACUCAUCAUCAUAA